CCGAGUGCGGGUUCUAGCGAGCCCAACCUCCCACCCGUGUUUACUGUUACCGCGUUGCUUCGGCGGGCCCACUGGGGCCUCGCCCCGGUCGCCGGGGGGCUCUUGCCCCCGGGCCCGCGCCCGCUGAAGCGCCCUGGAACCCUGUCUGAAUAGUGAGUCUGAGUGAGAGAUUGAAUCAUUA
This 181-nucleotide unclassified non-coding RNA is filed under the name uncultured Ascomycota. Its description in RNAcentral is "sequence contains ITS1". Lineage: Eukaryota; Fungi; Ascomycota. The record is from RNAcentral.